UACGGAGGGGGCUAGCGUUGUUCGGAAUUACUGGGCGUAAAGCGCACGUAGGCGGCUUUGCAAGUUAGAGGUGAAAGCCCGGGGCUCAACUCCGGAAUUGCCUUUAAAACUGCAUCGCUAGAAUUGUGGAGAGGUAAGUGGAAUUCCGAGUGUAGAGGUGAAAUUCGUAGAUAUUGGGAAGAACACCGAUGGCGAAGGCAGCCAUCUGGACCGACACUGACGCUGAGGCGCGAAAGCGUGGGGAGCAAACAGG
RNAcentral lists this ribosomal RNA (253 nucleotides) under uncultured bacterium. RNAcentral's name for it is "partial 16S ribosomal RNA". It matches the Rfam family "Bacterial small subunit ribosomal RNA", at positions 524 to 776 of the family's 1533-position model. The record is from RNAcentral.